CGGCGGACGGGUGAGUAACACGUGGAUAACCUACCUAUAAGACUGGGAUAACUUCGGGAAACCGAGCUAAUACCGGAUAAUAUAUUGAACCGCAUGGUUCAAUGGUGAAAGACGGUUUUGCUGUCACUUAUAGAUGGAUCCGCGCCGCAUUAGCUAGUUGGUAAGGUAACGGCUUACCAAGGCAACGAUGCGUAGCCGACCUGAGAGGGUGAUCGGCCACACUGGAACUGAGACACGGUCCAGACUCCUACGGGAGGCAGCAGGA
This 265-nucleotide ribosomal RNA is filed under the name uncultured Staphylococcus sp. RNAcentral's name for it is "partial 16S ribosomal RNA". It matches the Rfam family "Bacterial small subunit ribosomal RNA", at positions 96 to 354 of the family's 1533-position model. Lineage: Bacteria; Bacillati; Bacillota; Bacilli; Caryophanales; Staphylococcaceae. The record is from RNAcentral.